This is a non-coding RNA of Macaca mulatta (Rhesus monkey), 197 nucleotides long. NCBI's taxonomy places the organism in Eukaryota, Metazoa, Chordata, Mammalia, Primates, Cercopithecidae. The record is from RefSeq and is a predicted model, not a curated record.
CUCUUGGAUGAUCUGCUCUGGGGAUAGUUGUGAGUAGGCCUGCAGCCCACAGCCAUGUGAGUGAGCCUUUUGAAGAGUGGACCUUCCAGGCCCAGUCAAGCCUUCAGAUAGUGGGACUCUGUGCUCAUGCCACUGGGCUUUUCUCCUCUUCUCUGCUGGAUUCUGCUGUUUCCCACAAGGUGUUCAGAGAGUCUGCC